Molecule: long non-coding RNA, 664 nt
Filed under: Monodelphis domestica (gray short-tailed opossum)
Lineage: Eukaryota; Metazoa; Chordata; Mammalia; Didelphimorphia; Didelphidae
Description: lncRNA (ENSMODG00000049321.1)
Source: RNAcentral
GCCUGUCUUCUCUCUACACCAUGAGAUUAAUAGUGGAUGGAACACUCCAUUGCAACCUAACAAACUAAGACCACAAAGAACUACCUCUAGCAAAGCUAAUCCUUUGAGAGGAAAUAGGAAUAUUUUCCCUUUCUGUUUUUGUGUCUAUUUUGGAAGCUUGAUUUUAAGAUUAUUAGAGUUUGCGCUAGCUAGAAUGCCUGUGGAUUGAAGAUGCAAGGCUGGAGUUUCCUAAGUGCUUGAAGUCAAGAGACCUUGAUUCCAGAUAAAUGAAGAAUACUUUGGAAGAUGAGGAAACUGAGGUAAAUAGGGCUAAGUGACUUUCCCAAGGUCAUAUAACUAGUAAGCAUCUGAGGUCAUGUUUGAACUCAGAUCUUCUUGACUCCAGACCCAGCUCUCUAUCCAAUGGGCCACCAAAGGAAUCAAAAGAGAAACAAUGACUCUUGCCUUUUGGAAUUGGUAUUCUUGAAUCCCCCCCAAAGCUGUUGCUGCUGUCCAAGAUGGCAUCAUCUGGCAUGAAGGAGAUUGUGAAAAAUGAUUACUCACAAUUUUCUUGUCACUGUACAAAGUAAAUUACAUGCAGAAUCCAAAGCUCUUGUUCAAUGUUAAUCAACUGUCAUUAAUCAGCCAGUUCAAUAAGAAUUAUUUGAUGCCACGCACCAGGCAG